This 282-nucleotide long non-coding RNA is filed under the name Elaeis guineensis (African oil palm). RNAcentral's name for it is "long non-coding RNA (EGUI_LNC022079)". Lineage: Eukaryota; Viridiplantae; Streptophyta; Magnoliopsida; Arecales; Arecaceae. The record is from RNAcentral.
CCAUGGUCUUCAGAACCUCAACCAUGGACAAUGUAUCAUAGUUCGUCCGUUGCCAAGCUAAGUUCCUUGCCACCAGAUAUGUUUCUCUUUUAAAUUGAAAAAGUUCAAAUAGAAUAGAAUUUCUUCAUGAUCGCUCCAAUAGCGGUCCCACUUUAGCCACAUCCACCUCGAUGGCCGACCUCAGGUGAGAAGAUCAAGAGCAACACUUGGCGCUAGAGGAAGGAUUCUCGAUCAAUUUUAAAGUCCUAUUUUGAGAGAAGAGAGCUCACCACCAGCCACCAU